RNAcentral lists this ribosomal RNA (565 nucleotides) under Streptomyces sp. 387A09. RNAcentral describes it as "bacterial SSU rRNA". It matches the Rfam family "Bacterial small subunit ribosomal RNA", at positions 93 to 671 of the family's 1533-position model. Lineage: Bacteria; Bacillati; Actinomycetota; Actinomycetes; Kitasatosporales; Streptomycetaceae. The record is from RNAcentral.
UAGUGGCGAACGGGUGAGUAACACGUGGGCAAUCUGCCCUUCACUCUGGGACAAGCCCUGGAAACGGGGUCUAAUACCGGAUAUGAGCCUGGGAGGCAUCUCCCGGGUUGUAAAGCUCCGGCGGUGAAGGAUGAGCCCGCGGCCUAUCAGCUUGUUGGUGAGGUAAUGGCUCACCAAGGCGACGACGGGUAGCCGGCCUGAGAGGGCGACCGGCCACACUGGGACUGAGACACGGCCCAGACUCCUACGGGAGGCAGCAGUGGGGAAUAUUGCACAAUGGGCGAAAGCCUGAUGCAGCGACGCCGCGUGAGGGAUGACGGCCUUCGGGUUGUAAACCUCUUUCAGCAGGGAAGAAGCGAGAGUGACGGUACCUGCAGAAGAAGCGCCGGCUAACUACGUGCCAGCAGCCGCGGUAAUACGUAGGGCGCAAGCGUUGUCCGGAUUUAUUGGGCGUAAAGAGCUCGUAGGCGGCUNGUCACGUCGAUUGUGAAAGCCCGAGGCUUAACCUCGGGUCUGCAGUCGAUACGGGCUAGCUAGAGUGUGGUAGGGGGAGAUCGGAAUUCCU